This 428-nucleotide ribosomal RNA is filed under the name Acidobacteriota bacterium. RNAcentral's name for it is "Acidobacteria bacterium partial 16S ribosomal RNA". It matches the Rfam family "Bacterial small subunit ribosomal RNA", at positions 355 to 776 of the family's 1533-position model. The record is from RNAcentral. Lineage: Bacteria; Pseudomonadati; Acidobacteriota.
UGGGGAAUUUUGGACAAUGGGGGAAACCCUGAUCCAGCCAUCCCGCGUGUGCGAUGAAGGCCUUCGGGUUGUAAAGCACUUUUGGCAGGAAAGAAACGUCAUGGGUUAAUACCCCGUGAAACUGACGGUACCUGCAGAAUAAGCACCGGCUAACUACGUGCCAGCAGCCGCGGUAAUACGUAGGGUGCAAGCGUUAAUCGGAAUUACUGGGCGUAAGCGUGCGCAGGCGGUUCGGAAAGAAAGAUGUGAAAUCCCAGAGCUCAACUUUGGAACUGCAUUUUUAACUACCGGGCUAGAGUGUGUCAGAGGGAGGUGGAAUUCCGCGUGUAGCAGUGAAAUGCGUAGAUAUGCGGAGGAACACCGAUGGCGAAGGCAGCCUCCUGGGAUAACACUGACGCUCAUGCACGAAAGCGUGGGGAGCAAACAGG